UGAGGGACCAGUAAUGGCCUCCGAUCGCACCCCAGGAGUCAGCAGAGGGCAUAGUAGGUUGUGUCUCGGAUCAACCUCGCCGCCUGGCGCUGAAGGCA
Candidatus Entotheonella sp. is the source of this 98-nucleotide non-coding RNA. The record is from Rfam. Lineage: Bacteria; Pseudomonadati; Candidatus Tectimicrobiota; Candidatus Entotheonellia; Candidatus Entotheonellales; Candidatus Entotheonellaceae.